This 29-nucleotide non-coding RNA is filed under the name Macaca fascicularis (crab-eating macaque). The record is from RNAcentral. Lineage: Eukaryota; Metazoa; Chordata; Mammalia; Primates; Cercopithecidae. RNAcentral also lists the same sequence under 1 other name.
UGGGCAGCUAGAACAAUGCAAUGGUAGGA